Amblyraja radiata (thorny skate) is the source of this 150-nucleotide long non-coding RNA. RefSeq lists it as uncharacterized. The transcript has 3 exons. The record is from RefSeq and is a predicted model, not a curated record. NCBI's taxonomy places the organism in Eukaryota, Metazoa, Chordata, Chondrichthyes, Rajiformes, Rajidae.
AGGACAUUAUUGCUAUUGAGAGAGUGCAGCGUAAGUUCACCAGGUUAAGUCCCGGGAUGGCGGGUCUGACAUAUGAUGUAAGAAUGAGUCGACCUGGCUUGAAUUCACUGGAAUUUAGAAGGAUGAGAGGCUAUCUCAUUGAAACAUAUA